AGCUUCGACUAAGGUUCGACUCGAGCGUCAGUGAGAGAACGUUGCCGCAGGCAACGGCCCGAAGGGCGAGGCGCUUUAGCGCCGAGUAAUCCUUCCCCCACUACUG
RNAcentral lists this small RNA (106 nucleotides) under Klebsiella aerogenes. RNAcentral's name for it is "partial RtT sRNA". It matches the Rfam family "RtT RNA", at positions 28 to 130 of the family's 130-position model. Rfam says of the family: This family represents a bacterial cis-regulatory element known as RtT RNA. Lineage: Bacteria; Pseudomonadati; Pseudomonadota; Gammaproteobacteria; Enterobacterales; Enterobacteriaceae. The record is from RNAcentral.